AACGAACGCUGGCGGCAUGCCUAACACAUGCAAGUCGAACGAGAUCCUUCGGGGUCUAGUGGCGCACGGGUGCGUAACGCGUGGGAAUCUGCCCUUAGGUUCGGAAUAACAGUUAGAAAUGACUGCUAAUACCGGAUGAUGACGUUAAGUCCAAAGAUUUAUCGCCUGAGGAUGAGCCCGCGUAGGAUUAGCUAGUUGGUGUGGUAAAGGCGCACCAAGGCGACGAUCCUUAGCUGGUCUGAGAGGAUGAUCAGCCACACUGGGACUGAGACACGGCCCAGACUCGUACGGGAGGCAGCAGUGGGGAAUAUUGGACAAUGGGCGCAAGCCUGAUCCAGCAAUGCCGCGUGAGUGAUGAAGGCCUUAGGGUUGUAAAGCUCUUUUACCCGGGAUGAUAAUGACAGUACCGGGAGAAUAAGCCCCGGCUAACUCCGUG
Molecule: ribosomal RNA, 436 nt
Filed under: uncultured bacterium
Lineage: Bacteria
Description: partial 16S ribosomal RNA
Rfam family: Bacterial small subunit ribosomal RNA
Source: RNAcentral